GUCAGGACAAAGUAUUAAAGACAUGAAUCUUAGGGACACAUCAGCACAUACCAGAUGAAGAUGUCCCACAUGAUGUGACCACUGACACCCAGGGCUUGGGGAGAAAGACGGUGGUUUAUGCAAAUGGAGUUUACUACAUGGCUCUCAAGUGUUUAUGAAUUCAUGAAUGGAUAACUUCUCACUGGGCUUUGAAAAAACCAGCAAACAAUGCCAGGUUGAAUCUCUGUGUGUGAUUUUCCUCAAGAUGGUUUUAUAUUAUGCAGACCUGGGUAAGUGAGCCCUGACUCUUCCUCUUUCUUGUACCUGGUGUGCUUUCCAUUUGUACCUAUGCUAGGCAGUACAAGUACAAGAUUACCCAAGCAGCAGCACGGCUUUUCUUCAUUCAGC
This 387-nucleotide long non-coding RNA is filed under the name Cyanistes caeruleus (blue tit). Its description in RNAcentral is "lncRNA (ENSCCEG00000009405.1)". The record is from RNAcentral. Lineage: Eukaryota; Metazoa; Chordata; Aves; Passeriformes; Paridae.